UGGGGAAUAUUGCACAAUGGGGGAAACCCUGAUGCAGCCAUGCCGCGUGUGUGAAGAAGGCCUUCGGGUUGUAAAGCACUUUCAGCGAGGAGGAAAGGUUGGUAGCUAAUAACUGCCAGCUGUGACGUUACUCGCAGAAGAAGCACCGGCUAACUCCGUGCCAGCAGCCGCGGUAAU
Molecule: ribosomal RNA, 177 nt
Filed under: uncultured Aeromonas sp.
Lineage: Bacteria; Pseudomonadati; Pseudomonadota; Gammaproteobacteria; Aeromonadales; Aeromonadaceae
Description: partial 16S ribosomal RNA
Rfam family: Bacterial small subunit ribosomal RNA
Source: RNAcentral